GUACUCACUUUAUGAGCACAUAUACUAAAACUGGAUCAAUACAGUGAAGAUUAUUAAUAUGGCACAUAAGGAUGACACACAAAUUUGUGAUAUGUUCUAUAUUUUU
Molecule: small nuclear RNA, 106 nt
Organism: Antechinus flavipes (yellow-footed antechinus)
Lineage: Eukaryota; Metazoa; Chordata; Mammalia; Dasyuromorphia; Dasyuridae
Source: RefSeq, a predicted model, not a curated record